This 447-nucleotide ribosomal RNA is filed under the name uncultured bacterium. RNAcentral's name for it is "partial 16S ribosomal RNA". It matches the Rfam family "Bacterial small subunit ribosomal RNA", at positions 29 to 523 of the family's 1533-position model. The record is from RNAcentral.
AACGAACGCUGGCGACAGGCCUAACACAUGCAAGUCGAACGCUCCGCAAGGGGAGUGGCAGACGGGUGAGUAACACGUGGGAAUCUUCCUAUCGGUACGGAAUAGCUCAGGGAAACUUGGGGUAAUACCGUAUACGCCCGAGAGGGGAAAGAUUUAUCGCCGAUAGAUGAGCCCGCGUCAGAUUAGCUAGUUGGUGAGGUAAUGGCUCACCAAGGCGACGAUCAGUAGCUGGUCUGAGAGGAUGAUCAGCCACACUGGGACUGAGACACGGCCCAGACUCCUACGGGAGGCAGCAGUGGGGAAUAUUGGACAAUGGGCGCAAGCCUGAUCCAGCCAUGCCGCGUGAGUGACGAAGGUCUUCGGAUUGUAAAGCUCUUUUGGCGGGGACGAUAAUGACGGUACCCGCAGAAUAAGCCCCGGCUAACUUCGUGCCAGCCGCCGCGGUAA